RNAcentral lists this ribosomal RNA (497 nucleotides) under uncultured bacterium. Its description in RNAcentral is "partial 16S ribosomal RNA". It matches the Rfam family "Bacterial small subunit ribosomal RNA", at positions 28 to 507 of the family's 1533-position model. The record is from RNAcentral.
GACGAACGCUGGCGGCGUGCCUAAUACAUGCAAGUAGAACGCUGAAGAGAGGAGCUUGCACUUCUUGGAUGAGUUGCGAACGGGUGAGUAACGCGUAGGUAACCUGCCUUGUAGCGGGGGAUAACUAUUGGAAACGAUAGCUAAUACCGCAUAACAAUGGAUGACACAUGUCAUUUAUUUGAAAGGGGCAAUUGCUCCACUACAAGAUGGACCUGCGUUGUAUUAGCUAGUAGGUGAGGUAAUGGCUCACCUAGGCGACGAUACAUAGCCGACCUGAGAGGGUGAUCGGCCACACUGGGACUGAGACACGGCCCAGACUCCUACGGGAGGCAGCAGUAGGGAAUCUUCGGCAAUGGGGGCAACCCUGACCGAGCAACGCCGCGUGAGUGAAGAAGGUUUUCGGAUCGUAAAGCUCUGUUGUAAGUCAAGAACGGGUGUGAGAGUGGAAAGUUCACACUGUGACGGUAGCUUACCAGAAAGGGACGGCUAACUACGUG